RNAcentral lists this ribosomal RNA (440 nucleotides) under uncultured bacterium. RNAcentral describes it as "partial 16S ribosomal RNA". It matches the Rfam family "Bacterial small subunit ribosomal RNA", at positions 338 to 795 of the family's 1533-position model. The record is from RNAcentral.
CCUACGGGGGGCAGCAGUGGGGGAUAUUGCACAAUGGGGGGAACCCUGAUGCAGCGACGCCGCGUGGGUGAAGAAGCGCCUCGGCGCGUAAAGCCCUGUCAGCAGGGAAGAAAAUGACGGUACCUGAAGAAGAAGCCCCGGCUAACUACGUGCCAGCAGCCGCGGUAAUACGUAGGGGGCAAGCGUUAUCCGGAUUUACUGGGUGUAAAGGGGGCGCAGACGGCGAUGCAAGCCAGGAGUGAAAGCCCGGGGGCCAACCCCGGGACUGCUCUUGGAACUGCGUGGCUGGAGUGCAGGAGGGGCAGGCGGAAUUCCUGGUGUAGCGGUGAAAUGCGUAGAUAUCAGGAGGAACACCGGUGGCGAAGGCGGCCUGCUGGACUGCAACUGACGUUGAGGCCCGAAAGCGUGGGGAGCAAACAGGAUUAGAUACCCCAGUAGUC